UACAGAGGGGGCAAGCGUUGUUCGGAAUUACUGGGCGUAAAGGGCGCGUAGGCGGCCAUCUAAGUCAGACGUGAAAUCCCCCGGCUUAACCUGGGAACUGCGUCUGAUACUGGUCGGCUUGAGUAUGGGAGAGGGAUGUAGAAUUCCAGGUGUAGCGGUGAAAUGCGUAGAUAUCUGGAGGAAUACCGGUGGCGAAGGCGGCAUCCUGGACCAUUACUGACGUUGAGGCGCGAAAGCUAGGGUAGCAAACGGG
RNAcentral lists this ribosomal RNA (253 nucleotides) under uncultured bacterium. Its description in RNAcentral is "partial 16S ribosomal RNA". It matches the Rfam family "Bacterial small subunit ribosomal RNA", at positions 524 to 776 of the family's 1533-position model. The record is from RNAcentral.